Molecule: ribosomal RNA, 1280 nt
Filed under: Salmonella enterica subsp. enterica serovar Enteritidis
Lineage: Bacteria; Pseudomonadati; Pseudomonadota; Gammaproteobacteria; Enterobacterales; Enterobacteriaceae
Description: partial 23S ribosomal RNA
Rfam family: Bacterial large subunit ribosomal RNA
Source: RNAcentral
GUGUUCCAGGUAAAUCCGGUUCACUUUAACACUGAGGCGUGACGACGAGGCACUACGGUGCUGAAGCAACAAAUGCCCUGCUUCCAGGAAAAGCCUCUAAGCAUCAGGUAACAUCAAAUCGUACCCCAAACCGACACAGGUGGUCAGGUAGAGAAUACCAAGGCGCUUGAGAGAACUCGGGUGAAGGAACUAGGCAAAAUGGUGCCGUAACUUCGGGAGAAGGCACGCUGACACGUAGGUGAAGUGAUUUACUCAUGGAGCUGAAGUCAGUCGAAGAUACCAGCUGGCUGCAACUGUUUAUUAAAAACACAGCACUGUGCAAACACGAAAGUGGACGUAUACGGUGUGACGCCUGCCCGGUGCCGGAAGGUUAAUUGAUGGGGUCAGCGCAAGCGAAGCUCCUGAUCGAAGCCCCGGUAAACGGCGGCCGUAACUAUAACGGUCCUAAGGUAGCGAAAUUCCUUGUCGGGUAAGUUCCGACCUGCACGAAUGGCGUAAUGAUGGCCAGGCUGUCUCCACCCGAGACUCAGUGAAAUUGAACUCGCUGUGAAGAUGCAGUGUACCCGCGGCAAGACGGAAAGACCCCGUGAACCUUUACUAUAGCUUGACACUGAACAUUGAGCCUUGAUGUGUAGGAUAGGUGGGAGGCUUUGAAGUGUGGACGCCAGUCUGCAUGGAGCCGACCUUGAAAUACCACCCUUUAAUGUUUGAUGUUCUAACGUGGACCCGUUACCCGGGUUGCGGACAGUGUCUGGUGGGUAGUUUGACUGGGGCGGUCUCCUCCUAAAGAGUAACGGAGGAGCACGAAGGUUGGCUAAUCCUGGUCGGACAUCAGGAGGUUAGUGCAAUGGCAUAAGCCAGCUUGACUGCGAGCGUGACGGCGCGAGCAGGUGCGAAAGCAGGUCAUAGUGAUCCGGUGGUUCUGAAUGGAAGGGCCAUCGCUCAACGGAUAAAAGGUACUCCGGGGAUAACAGGCUGAUACCGCCCAAGAGUUCAUAUCGACGGCGGUGUUUGGCACCUCGAUGUCGGCUCAUCACAUCCUGGGGCUGAAGUAGGUCCCAAGGGUAUGGCUGUUCGCCAUUUAAAGUGGUACGCGAGCUGGGUUUAGAACGUCGUGAGACAGUUCGGUCCCUAUCUGCCGUGGGCGCUGGAGAACUGAGGGGGGCUGCUCCUAGUACGAGAGGACCGGAGUGGACGCAUCACUGGUGUUCGGGUUGUCAUGCCAAUGGCACUGCCCGGUAGCUAAAUGCGGAAGAGAUAAGUGCUGAAAGCAUCUAAGC